RNAcentral lists this ribosomal RNA (253 nucleotides) under uncultured bacterium. Its description in RNAcentral is "partial 16S ribosomal RNA". It matches the Rfam family "Bacterial small subunit ribosomal RNA", at positions 524 to 776 of the family's 1533-position model. The record is from RNAcentral.
UACGUAGGGGCCGAGCGUUGUCCGGAGUUAUUGGGCGUAAAGCGCGCGCAGGCGGCUUCGCGCGUCCGACGUGAAAGCCCCCGGCUUAACCGGGGAGGGUCGUUGGGUACGGCGGAGCUUGAGGGCGGGAGAGGGUGGUGGAAUUCCCGGUGUAGUGGUGAAAUGCGUAGAGAUCGGGAGGAACACCUGUGGCGAAGGCGGCUCACUGGUCCAUUACUGACGCUGAGGUGCGAAAGCGUGGGGAGCAAACAGG